RNAcentral lists this ribosomal RNA (358 nucleotides) under uncultured Streptococcus sp. Its description in RNAcentral is "bacterial SSU rRNA". It matches the Rfam family "Bacterial small subunit ribosomal RNA", at positions 1022 to 1382 of the family's 1533-position model. Lineage: Bacteria; Bacillati; Bacillota; Bacilli; Lactobacillales; Streptococcaceae. The record is from RNAcentral.
GGUACAUCGGUGACAGGUGGUGCAUGGUUGCGUCAGCUCGUGUCGUGAGAUGUUGGGUUAAGUCCCGCAACGAGCGCAACCCCUAUUGUUAGUUGCCAUCAUUCAGUUGGGCACUCUAGCGAGACUGCCGGUAAUAAACCGGAGGAAGGUGGGGAUGACGUCAAAUCAUCAUGCCCCUUAUGACCUGGGCUACACACGUGCUACAAUGGUUGGUACAACGAGUUGCGAGUCGGUGACGGCGAGCUAAUCUCUUAAAGCCAAUCUCAGUUCGGAUUGUAGGCUGCAACUCGCCUACAUGAAGUCGGAAUCGCUAGUAAUCGCGGAUCAGCACGCCGCGGUGAAUACGUUCCCGGGCCUU